CUAUAAUGUAGCUGAUAACAAAGGGUAGCUUACAGCAACCAAUUCCUUUCAAAUCAGUGGCUGUGAGGGAGAGAGGAUAUGAGAAAAGGAAGACAUUUUAGAGUUUUGAAACAAGACCCUUGCUUUGCUGACAAAGGACAGGGAUACAGUACAUACGUUCCUGAUUGGGUGCUGGCGGGCACCAUGAGGCUCACCGUACCGUUGCCUGCACCGCCCCCAGUCACCAUGGAGAUGUUGGCAGGGAAGGAAGAAUUGAAUCUGCGAUCGUUGGUGGCUCGGACGGUAAAGGUUCCUUCGGUUCUGCAGGCCGUUUCUACGAUGAAGGGGACUGAAAUGGUGGUAAACUAUGGACGAAACAGAGCUGAGACUCUGAUGGGUUAAGUAGAGGUAGUAUCGAUACGUGAGGCCUCAAGGCUCUGUUGGUACAGUCCUGUCUGCUGUCUCUCCAGUUUUUAGUCUUGGUCAAGAUGUAGUACCAACCUUCAAAAUCAUCUCUCUUCCUCUGUAACUGGUCUCUCUCUUUAGUCAAGAUGUUGUAGCUUGUCUGUAGCUGGUCUCUCUCUUUAGUCAGGGUGUUGUAACUGGUUUGUAGCUUGCCUCUCCCUUCAGUUAAGUUGUUGUAGCUUGUCUGUAGCUGGUCUCUCUCUUUAGUCAGGGUGUUAUAACUUAUUUGUAGCUGGUCUCUCUCUUUAGUCAGGGUGUUGUAACUGGUUUGUAGCUUGUCUCUCUUUUCAGUUAAAUUGUUGUAACUGGUUUGCAGCUGGUCUCUCUCUUUAGUCAGGGUGUUGUAACUGGUUUGUAGCUUGUCUCUCUCUUCAGUUAAGUUGUUAUAACUGGUCUGUAGCUGGUCUCUCUCUGGUCAGGUGGUCUUAGCUAGUCUGUAGCUGGUCUCUCUCUCUUCAGUAAGGGUGUUGUAACUGUUAUGUAGCUGGCCAUUCUUUUGACCCUGUUGUAGGUGGGGAUUUGUGGAACAGAAACAGUAACAUGUCAUGUCUGGUUAUACAGUAACAUGUCCUGGCUGGUUAUACAGUAACAUGUCCUGGCUGGUUAUACAGUAACAUGUCCUGGCUGGUUAUACAGUAACAUGUCCUGGCUGGUUAUACAGUAACAUGUCCUGGCUGGUUAUACAGUGACAUGUCCUGGCUGGUUAUACAGUAACAUGUCCUGGCUGGUUAUACAGUAACAUGUCCUGGCUGGUUAUACAGUUACAUGUCCUGGCUGGUUAUACAGUAACAUGUCCUGGCUGGUUAUACAGUAACAUGUCCUGGCUGGUUAUACAGUAACAUGUCCUGGUUGGUUAUACAGUAACAUGUCCUGGCUGGUUAUACAGUUACAUGUCCUGGCUGGUUAUACAGUAACAUGUCCUGGCUGGUUAUACAGUAACAUGUCCUGGCUGGUUAGUGUUGGGACACCUUCUUCCCACCUUUUUUUCCUGAUUCCUGAGUAAUUUCCUGGUCUUCUGGGGUAAGUUCCACCCGCAUACUGUGAAGCAACACAAACAUAUGCACAGACACAUGCAUACACACACACGAUAACAUACCACAAUCCUCUCCUACAUUCUCUCAGGAACUAAUGAGGACCCAUAAUAAAUGCAAAUACAAAUACAUACACCAGACACACACCCUCUUAUAUGAUCUCUUACUACUCUAUAUCGCUGAUUAAGAUAUUGGAUGUAUACAUCUUAAUAAUGUCUCUGGAUGAUUUAAAUAACUAAUAACCUUUGUUUAAAUAUUAUUAGAAAUCUGUCAAAUAUUCUGAGCGUUUGGGGCUAUUCUAUUGCUUCUAUUAAGCCAGGCAAUCUCAACCAAGCACAGCUAAAGUAUUUGGGUCAUAUUCAUUAGGAACCAAAUGUAAGAUAGCAAACUGAAACAGGGAGGGACUAACUGUACCUGUCCAAUAAGAAUAAAGUGUUUUGUUUUGCCGUUGUAAAACAUUUUACGAUGGUGUGCCCUAAUGAAUAUGUGGCACAGGUCUGCUAAUAACCACCAACCAUAGACAGACAGACAGACAGACAGACAGAAAGACAGGAAGCUGUUAUUAAAGGAAGUUAGUGGUAUGGCUAAAUAUGAGUUGGCACAGCAACACAUGUUGAAAUCAACUGAAAUACAAUAGGUGAUCCAGCAAAAACAUCCCUAAACUCUGUGUCCCAAAUUGAACCCUUUUUCCUACAUAGUGAUGGACCCUGGUCAAAAGUAGUUCACUAUACAGGGAAUAGGGUGACAAUUGAGACGUAUCCUUAAUGUCAUUAUUCACAUUCUAUGUAGGUAUUAUGUACUGCCUCUGUCCUGAAAACACAGGCCACAAAUCAAAAACAGACUGUGUUGCGGACAGCCAUGAUCCCUCUGAACUAAGCGGCCGCGCACUUCCUCCAGGACUGCUGCACAGAAGAAACGCCAUGCUACACAGAGGUGGAAGAGAUUGAACUUCACUGAGUUCAACCCCAUUAGUUUGCACUAUAUAGAUCAAUGUUUUAUCAGGGAUCGAAUCAAUAUUAUGUCAGCCUAUUUACAAUGCAACAAAACAUAACAAAUCAAAUUGUCCAAGAUUGAGUCUGUGAUUUUGUUGUUGGCAGAGCCACAGCACAACGGAGUAGAAUUUAAUUGGCAGGGGGUUGCGCAAGACUGGUCUUUCAAUCACCCAGGAGUGAACGCGCUUUUCACAUCAGUUCAGAUCAGAGCGGCUCGUGUGCACAUUUGUUGAUAUUCUUUGCUAGUUUACGAGUUAUUAGCCCAGUUAUACAUUAGUAUGGGUAUAGGAGCACAAAACGAGGAGCCUACACUUCAAGCUGUCUUUGAAAAGCCAGUCAGGUAAAAAGCUUAUGUCUUAAUUAAAGGGGCGAUGUUGUAUUUUGAGACAGGUUUGAAUAUGUAAAUACGUUUAUAGGCAGAGGCGUAGCCUACAUAGUCUAAUUCUCUGUAUGGUAAUAACACAUUUUAUUUUGUAGAGUGGUGUCUGGCAUAAUACAAUACAAUACCAUUUACAGUCACCUAUUUGGCCCAUGAUGUUACAGACCAAAUAAAAAAUUAUGAAUGAAUGUCAAUAUCUUCAUAAUGUAAAACGUUUUAAAAGUCUCCUGCAAUGUAUGCCUGCAUUGAGCACCACAUAUAGGCUACUGUAGGCUAUAUCAUAGAAAUCAAAAGCUAUUUCCUGUCACGUCCUGAUCUGUUUCACCUGUUCUCAGCUCCACUGGUGCUUGGUGUUGUCAUUGGUAACCUACAUGUUGUCCCUUGUACAGUGAAGGUUGUGAGUCAUUCUCACCUUUCAUUAGCAUUGUUGUGUGUGUGUGUGUGUGUGUGUGUGUGUGUGUGUGUGUGUGUGUGUGUGUGUGUGUGUGUGUGUGUGUGUGUGUGUGUGUGUGUGUGUGUGUGUGUGUGUGUGCCAUCUCAGCACUGUUCUGCCCUCUGUGUGUCGAGGUCACACUGUUUUAAGUAUCCAAUCACAUUCAAUCAGGAAGCUGGUCGACCUUGUUAAAGAACAUUGUUCCUUUAUUUAUUGAUCUGUGACUUUGUUAUUCUUAUUAUUAAAGUGAUGAUCACACGUUAAUAAUUGGACCCACUUUCUUUUUACUAAGCAUAAGCCUACUGCAAAUCACAUGACAUGUUUCUAAUAAAAAUAAGUAUGUCUACAUACUCUCCUCUAAAUCUAAACACAACUAUUAUUUGUCUUCCUCAUUCUCUUAAUUGUCUUCUUCCUCCUCUGUCUCUAUCUCCUCUCCUCCUUUCAACCCUAUUAGGAGAUGGUCCAAGGUCCCUCCCCGGGAUUGUAUUAUCCAAUGUCUUGAGACAGAGUGUGUACUACCACUAUUUCACCUCUAUGGUGAAUUCAUCUCUCACUUUAACCACUAGGUGAAAGCAUCACUAAACCCAGGACUGCCCAACCCUCCUCCAGGAGAUCUACCAUCAUGUGUGUUUUCAGUCCAAACCUUAUUUAUCACACAUGGUUCUACUAAUUAGCUGCUCAACAAGACCUUAACUGGCUGAAUCAGAUAUGCUAAAUUAGGUUUGGACUGAAAACCUACAGAACAGUUAUCAAUCAACAUAAUAAUUAUGAGAGAGAGAGAGAGAGACUCUGUUUGUUUCACAGCUUUCUCACAGAUCCAGUUAUGAUAUUUGUGACAAUUGUCAUCAUUCCAUGUCUCUACAUGGUCAUCUUGUCCAGAGUAUAUCUCAACACAGUCCUCCUGUCCAGGGAAUGGGACUUGCUAUUUGUGAUGAUGGACAGGACACUAUCAUACCAGGAAGAUAUAGAUCAUAGAGGGGAAGUGGAGAACAAAGACUAGCUGUUAACAUAUAUUAAAUAUCAUAUGUAACAGCCCCAAGAUAAUUCAGGGAGUUUCCAGAACUCCUCCUUCCUUUCACCUUUCUGCUGAUUUGGACCCUCUGUUUACUCCCAAAUAUACAUCAACAUGUUCAGGAGGUCCAGAACUACAAACAUGGGUCAUUAUAAUGUCCAGACAAUAGAUGUGACACUACAAACUGCUCCAAGUGGAUAUUGAGGGUGGGUAGUUUUAACCAGAGAGGAUGAACAUGAUUGGUUGAUAAUUUUGAGUGACAGCUGGUUGAACCACUGAAAAUAUCCACUUCCCCUCCCUCUUUUGGGACCAUAUAGGGGAGCAGUCAAAUAGAGCAUUUGUUAUUGUGCUUAUAUGUAACUUGACAACAAAGACCGACUGUCAAAGAUUAUUAGGUAACAUCCUUUGAUAUCUCUACUACACUCAUUGAUUGGUGAUACAGUCACCUCCUAUACAGUGUAUGUAAUGGUGGUUUGGUACUGUUGAGAAUGUCAUCACCAGGCCUAAAUUGGAGCAUGUAAAUAUCUGUUGAAUAUAUUUCAAUUGGAAAUUAUGUGUAUGCUCAAUGUAAACUGUACUGACUUCAUGUUGAACUACAAACAAAUACAACAAUAUGUGUAUGCAUGUGUGUAUGUGCAGGUGUGAGUGUGUGUGAGAGAAAGACAGAGAGAGAGAGAAUGAAGGAGGAAGUUGUGCACAUUGAAGGCUGCUGUAUGUGUUUGCCAUCACCAUUAUCAGGCUGAUGUGGAGACCAGCACCUACAGGGUUAACAACAGUCAGAUAUCAUGGUUAAUACCAGUACCUACAGGGUUAAUAACAGUCAGAUAUCAUGGUUAAUACCAGUACCUACAGGGUUAAAAACAGUCAGAUAUCAUGGUUAAUACCAGUACCUACAGGGUUAAAAACAGUCAGAUAUCAUGGUUAAUACCAGUACCUACAGGGUUAAAAACAGUCAGAUAUCAUGGUUAACACCAGUACCUACAGGGUUAAAAACAGUCAGAUAUCAUGGUUAAUACCAGUACCUACAGGGUUAAAAACAGUCAGAUAUCAUGGUUAAUAUCAGUACCUACAGGGUUAAAAACAGUCAGAUAUCAUGGUUAAUACCAGUACCUACAGGGUUAACAACAGUCAGAUAUCAUGGUUAAUACCAGUACCUACAGGGUUAAAAACAGUCAGAUAUCAUGGUUAAUACCAGUACCUACAGGGUUAACAACAGUCAGAUAUCAUGGUUAAUACCAGUACCUACAGGGUUAACAACAGUCAGAUAUCAUGGUUAAUACCAGUACCUACAGGGUUAAUAACAGUCAGAUAUCAUGGUUAAUACCAGUACCCACAGGGUUAAUAACAGUCAGAUAUCAUGGUUAAUACCAGUACCUACAGGGUUAAUAACAGUCAGAUAUCAUGGUUAUUACCAGUACCUACAGGGUUAAUAACAGUCAGAUAUCAUGGUUAAUACCAGUACCUACAGGGUUAAUAACAGUCAGAUAUCAUGGUUAAUACCAGUACCUACAGGGUUAAUAACAGUCAGAUAUCAUGGUUAAUACCAGUACCUACAGGGUUAAUAACAGUCAGAUAUCAUGGUUAAUACCAGUACCUACAGGGUUAAUAACAGUCAGAUAUCAUGGUUAAUACCAGUACCUACAGGGUUAAAAACAGUCAGAUAUCAUGGUUAAUACCAGUACCUACAGGGUUAAUAACAGUCAGAUAUCAUGGUUAAUACCAGUACCUACAGGGUUAAUAACAGUCAGAUAUCAUGGUUAAUACCAGUACCUACAGGAUUAAUAACAGUCAGAUAUCAUGGUUAAUACCAGUACCUACAGGGUUAAUAACAGUCAGAUAUCAUGGUUAAUACCAGUACCUACAGGGUUAAUAACAGUCGGAUAUCAUGGUUAAUACCAGUACCUACAGGGUUCAAAACAGUCAGAUAUCAUGGUUAAUACCAGUACCUACAGGGUUAAUAACAGUCAGAUAUCAUGGUUAAUACCAGUACCUACAGGGUUAAUAACAGUCAGAUAUCAUGGUUAAUACCAGUACCUACAGGGUUAAUAACAGUCAGAUAUCAUGGUUAAUACCAGUACCUACAGGGUUAAUAACAGUCAGAUAUCAUGGUUAAUACCAGUACCUACAGGGUUAAUAACAGUCAGAUAUCAUGGUUAAUACCAGUACCUACAGGGUUAACAACAGUCAGAUAUCAUGGUUAAUACCAGUACCUACAGGGUUAAAAACUAUAAGACAUCACAGUUAGAACAUCACAAUCCCUAAUAAUAUACAGACAUGUUUCAUUUUACAGUUAACUUUGUUGAUUGCUGCCAUCAGUGACAAUAACCUGUAUAGAAAAUGUUUGAAUGGAGCCUUAUUGACAGAUUAGUUAUCAUCUCUCACCCUGUGGUCAGUGGGGUGCCGUCCACCCAUUUCCAGGUCCCCUCAAUAACAGAGUCAGUCAGACCAAUCCAGACUCUCUUCUUGAGGUUGAAGAGAAAUGUCUUUCAUUGAGAAAGAUAAAUAUAUACAGUAAAUAUAUUUAAGUACAGUAUAUGCAUGAUCAUAUCUAUCUCUCUCUCUCUAUCUAAUCACCAGGUCUGCUCUCCUUCCAGGUUUUAGUCUCAGUAGACAGGAAGUACCAACUGGAUUUUAACUUCUGCCAGCCUUCAGGACAGAGCAAACGACCAUGCAGACAACCGUCUGUGGAGAUCGGUGGACAAAGGGCUGGACAACGGGCCACACCCAUAAAACACAAUGGUUCCCAUGAAAGCGGACACCACAAUCGAUGGGGACGCAGAGCAGUACCAUUCUGCUCAUCUGAUGAAGGUGCACGUGAAUCCCUAUCACUCAUUAUUUGCAGAGACAGAUACUUGUAUUUUUUAUUUAACUAGGCAAGUCAUUUAAGAACAAAUUCUUAUUUACAAUGAUGUCCUAGGAACAGUGGGUUAACUGCCUUGUUCAGGUACAGAACAACAGAUUUUUACCUUGUCAGCUCAGGGAUUUGAUUCAACAACCUUCCGGUUACUGGCCCAACGCUCUAACCACUAGACUACAUGCCGCCCCAACUGGGAUGGAUCCCGAGGCAAAUGUGGCUGACCAGUGAACCUCCAGGUGUUCAUCAUUAAUACUGUAACCAAGACUGAUGCAACCCGGAAAAACAUUCAAGACAGAGUUAAUGAGUUCUUGAGGUCACUGAGAAUGUCUUGACAUGGCCUGCUCUCCCUUAUGUAAGGAAUUAAGCAUCUUUGCCAUAUUUACUAUGUACUGUGGGCUAUGUUUACUAUGUACUGUGGGCUAUGUUUACUAUGUACUGUGGGCCAUGUUUACUAUGUACUGUGGGCCAUGUUUACUAUGUACUGUGGGCCAUGUUUACUAUGUACUGUGGGCUAUGUUUACUAUGUACUGUGGGCUAUGUUUACUAUGUACUGUGGGCUAUGUUUACUAUGUACUGUGGGCUAUGUUUACUAUGUACUGUGGGCUAUGUUCACUAUGUACUGUGGGCUAUGUUUACUUGUCAGACUGCACAGUAGCUUAUUAAACGUGUGCAUUUUGAAAUAGUAAAAAAUUAAAUAAUAAUCAAUAACAUGUUUCUACCACAGUGUGUUUCUGGUUGAUGGCCAAUAUUAAGUACAGUCAAAUGCAUUUGUGAAUUAAAUCCCUUUAUUGUUAAUUAA
Oncorhynchus kisutch (coho salmon) is the source of this 7947-nucleotide long non-coding RNA. RefSeq lists it as uncharacterized. NCBI's taxonomy places the organism in Eukaryota, Metazoa, Chordata, Actinopteri, Salmoniformes, Salmonidae. The transcript is spliced from 3 exons. The record is from RefSeq and is a predicted model, not a curated record.